UGCAUUCACUAGUGUAAGUUGCUCUGGAUAAGAGUGUCUGCUAAAUGACUAAAA
Salmo salar (Atlantic salmon) is the source of this 54-nucleotide non-coding RNA. The record is from Rfam. NCBI's taxonomy places the organism in Eukaryota, Metazoa, Chordata, Actinopteri, Salmoniformes, Salmonidae.